AGAGUUUGAUYMUGGCUCAGGACGAACGCUGGCGGCAUGCCUAAUACAUGCAAGUCGAACGAACCAUCCUGAAGAUUGAAGCUUGCUUCAUGAUUCAGACCUUGGUGAGUGGCGGACGGGUGAGUAACACGUGGGUAACCUGCCCAAAAGUGGGGGAUAACAUUUGGAAACAAGUGCUAAUACCGCAUAACAACUACUUUCACAUGAUCGUAGCUUGAAAGAUGGCUCUGCUAUCGCUUUUGGAUGGACCCGCGGCGUAUUAGCUAGUUGGUGAGGUAAUAGCUCACCAAGGCAAUGAUACGUAGCCGACCUGAGAGGGUAAUCGGCCACAUUGGGACUGAGACACGGCCCAAACUCCUACGGGAGGCAGCAGUAGGGAAUCUUCCACAAUGGGCGAAAGCCUGAUGGAGCAAUGCCGCGUGAGUGAAGAAGGUUUUCGGAUCGUAAAACUCUGUUGUUGAAGAAGAACAUGCGUGAGAGUAACUGUUCACGUACUGACGGUAUUCAACCAGAAAGCCACGGCUAACUACGUGCCAGCAGCCGCGGUAAU
Molecule: ribosomal RNA, 550 nt
Filed under: uncultured bacterium
Lineage: Bacteria
Description: bacterial SSU rRNA
Rfam family: Bacterial small subunit ribosomal RNA
Source: RNAcentral